This 197-nucleotide ribosomal RNA is filed under the name uncultured bacterium. RNAcentral's name for it is "partial 16S ribosomal RNA". It matches the Rfam family "Bacterial small subunit ribosomal RNA", at positions 328 to 539 of the family's 1533-position model. The record is from RNAcentral.
ACGCUCGACACCUACGGAGGCAGCAGUGGGGAAUAUUGCACAAUGGGGGAAACCCUGAUGCAGCGACGCCGCGUGAGCGAAGAAGUAUUUCGGUAUGUAAAGCUCUAUCAGCAGGGAAGAAACUGACGGUACCUGACUAAGAAGCACCGGCUAAAUACGUGCCAGCAGACGCGGUAAUCUGAGCGGGCUGGCAAGGC